This 875-nucleotide ribosomal RNA is filed under the name uncultured eukaryote. Its description in RNAcentral is "SSU rRNA". It matches the Rfam family "Eukaryotic small subunit ribosomal RNA", at positions 574 to 1467 of the family's 1831-position model. The record is from RNAcentral.
CCGCGGUAAUUCCAGCUCCAAUAGCGUAUACUAAAGUUGUUGCGGUUAAAAAGCUCGUAGUUGGAUCUUGGAAUGUGUUCAAGCGGGUCAGCUUCUGGCUGUGCGCUGCUUGACGUGUUCUUCUAUUUGGUUUUGGUGCGGUGCGCUUAACUGCGUGUCGCUCCCGGCCGAAACGUUUACCUUGAAAAAAUUAGAGUGUUCAAAGCAGACCUGUUUGAGUCUGAAUAUUCGUGCAUGGAAUAAUGAAAUAUGAAUUCGGUUCUAUUUUGUUGGUUUUCGGAACUCGAGUUAAUGAUCAAGAGGGACAGACGGGGGCAUUCGUACUCUGCCGUUAGAGGUGAAAUUCUUGGAUCGGCGGAAGACGCGCAACUGCGAAAGCAUUUGCCAAGAAUGUUUUCUUUAAUCAAGAACGAUAGUCGGAGGUUCGAAGACGAUCAGAUACCGUCCUAGUUUCGACUGUAAACUAUGCCAGCUAACGAUCAGACAGAGUUCUCUACGACUUGUCUGGCAGUUUCCGGGAAACCAAAGCGUUUGGGUUCCGGGGGAAGUAUGGUUGCAAAGCUGAAACUUAAAGGAAUUGACGGAAGGGCACCACCAGGAGUGGAGCCUGCGGCUUAAUUUGACUCAACACGGGGAAACUCACCCGGCCCGGACACAGUGAGGAUUGACAGAUUGAGAGUUCUUUCUUGAUUCUGUGGGUGGUGGUGCAUGGGCCGUUCUUAGUUGGUGGAGCGAUUUGUCUGGUUAAUUCCGAUAACGAACGAGACUCUGGCAUGUUAAAUAGUCGCGGAAGUGCGUAUGCACUUGCCGAAUUGACUUCUUAGAGGGACUAGUGAUUUUAAUUCACACGAGAUUGAGCAAUAACAGGUCUGUGA